This 117-nucleotide ribosomal RNA is filed under the name Anaerolineae bacterium. The record is from RNAcentral. Lineage: Bacteria; Bacillati; Chloroflexota; Anaerolineae.
CCUCGUGACUCGAGCGAAGCGGAACCACCCAGUCCCAUUCCGAACCUGGAAGUGAAACGCUUCAGCGCCGAUGGUACUGCACUGGCAGCGGUGCGGGAGAGUAGGUCGUUGCGAGGG